Molecule: long non-coding RNA, 407 nt
Organism: Macrobrachium nipponense
Lineage: Eukaryota; Metazoa; Arthropoda; Malacostraca; Decapoda; Palaemonidae
Exons: 3
Source: RefSeq, a predicted model, not a curated record
UUUCUCUGAAGUACUUGAGAUGGGUACCUAAGGCCUCUCUAAGUCAGCAGUUUCCCCCUUAGAGGAAGAAGAUCGAGAGGGAGACAGAAAAUUGGAUGACGAGAUAAAGUGAAGGAAGAUAUGGAGAGAAGAGGUCUGGUGGAUGAUGAUGCCUUUGAUAGAAGGCAGUGGAGAAGGCGCAUCAGGCAACCGACCCCAUAAUGUAGGGAUAACAGUGGGAAAGAAGAAUGAGAAGAGUUUCCUUCCAGGAGCAGCCGAAUUUAUGUACAUCCAUAGACAUACUACCAGACACCUGCCCAACAAUCUACAAUCUUUCAAAAAAUGAAUAACUUUUGGUUAAUAGCAUCUGUAUAAAGUUUAAGAUCUACCCAUAGAAGAAUUGUCUGCCAGAAAUCAUAACAUCCCGU